UUUUUUUUUUUUCCCGGGGAGUCGGCCUCGGGGCUCUGCUCUCCUACCUCAGUCUGCCCUACCCUGGAAUGGGGAAAAUGCGGACAUGCCACUCAGUCCGGCCGCGAACAGUGCUCCAGAACUCAGAGAGUUUUCCAGACGGGUGGAGAUCGCGUUCCCUGCCCGCCGAGGUCCCAUCGCUUCCCUGCUGGGAAGACAAAUGAGGCGCUUUAGCCGUCUCCACGGCCAGCCCCUCCCUCAUAACCCGAGAUUCUUUGUGGGCUCUUAGUCCAUAGCUGCCUUUGAGGUGGUGUAGACCUUGCUAACCAGGACGGCCCAGUAGGCAGAGCUCAUUUUUAUUCCUGUCUGCAAUCGUGCAAAAACGCCUCUUAUGGAAAAGCCAGAGCGCCAGGAGUCAGCAAAACACACUAAAGAUUGGGCAGUCACUGGGGAGAACGUGAGUAAAAGCACAGGAACAGCAAAGCGUUCAGGAACGUUCGAGGCUGACGCAACCGGCGCAGGAAGGUGGUGUGUGGUGGGAGAGUGGGAGGAGACAGUGGAAAGUUUAGACUUGCUUCUGUAAGUGAUAAGAAGUCAUCAGAUAUUUUCAAGCAGGAGAGGAAAAUAAUCUCUCUGUUUCGCAAAGUUAACUCUCAUGGCAACAGAGCAGAGUAGCGGGGGGAUGGGGGCUGGGAGAUGUUGGGAAGCUAUUGUUACCACUCUGGUGAAGAGUCAUGGGACCUCAAAAGCUGGGAUAGUCACGGUGGGAAUGGAAAGGAAGGGCACAAGCUGAGAGGCAUUUGGGAGGAGAAUCAAUAGCACUUUAUUGACUGGAUGUGUGAGAUGAGUGAGGACAGCAAUCAGAAGAGGACUUUGAGGUUUCUAGCCUGAGUGGCUGGAAGGACACCACUUCCCCUACCUGAAAUAGGUAGCAAAAAGGAGAGAGAAAGAGAGAAGCAGAGGGAUUUUGCAAAGGGAAUAGGAGUUCAGUUUUUGACAUGUGGCAUUUGAAUUGCAAGAAGUACAUCCCUGUGGAUGUAAUACCCAGUAGACAGUUGGGAAUUAGGAUCUGGUGUCGAGAAGAAAAGUAGAGAUGAGAUCCAAAGGGUUUAUAGUGGAUCGGGAGAGAAAUUGAUGACCUAAAGAGAAAUUAUAGAAUAAGAAGAUUUGGGCAGGGCACGGUGGCUCAUGCCUGUAAUCCCAGCAUUUUGGGAGACCAAGGUAGGAGGAUUGCUUGAGCCCAGGAGUUUGAGACCAGCCUGGGCAACAUGGUGAGACCCCGACUCUACAAAAACUGCAAAAA
Molecule: long non-coding RNA, 1282 nt
Filed under: Homo sapiens (human)
Lineage: Eukaryota; Metazoa; Chordata; Mammalia; Primates; Hominidae
Description: HSALNT0359595
Source: RNAcentral